Molecule: ribosomal RNA, 253 nt
Filed under: uncultured bacterium
Lineage: Bacteria
Description: partial 16S ribosomal RNA
Rfam family: Bacterial small subunit ribosomal RNA
Source: RNAcentral
UACGGGGGGGGCAAGCGUUGUUCGGAAUUACUGGGCGUAAGGGGCUCGUAGGCGGCCAACUAAGUCGGAUGUGAAAUCCCCAGGCUCAACCUGGGAACUGCAUCCGAUACUGGAUGGCUUGAAUUCGGGAGAGGGAUGCAGAAUUCCAGGUGUAGCGGUGAAAUGCGUAGAUAUCUGGAGGAAUACCGGUGGCGAAGGCGGCAUCCUGGACCGACAUUGACGCUGAGGAGCGAAAGCGUGGGGAGCGAACAGG